CAGGGUUGUUUAAUCAGUAAUAGGAGAACACAAUGCUAUAGUCAGGAACUUGGUUGAAGUUUUCCAGAACAAAAUUCCACCGAUUCAGAUAUAUAAGCAUUUUUUCAGCCACCACGCACUACAAGAGACGAAACACAUUCGUGAUGCCCCUACCGCCCAACGUUUGUAAGGAAAAAUCAAUGGCAUGCUUCUAUUUUUAUUUCCUAGAAAGAUGCAACCACUGUAUCACAAAGUCACAAACAUUUAAUUGAAACCCUACAUAGUUCUUAUAUACCCACCCAUUACCUGUUUUGUGUUAUUAUUUAAUAGCUUCUGUUGACCUCUC
RNAcentral lists this long non-coding RNA (325 nucleotides) under Capsella rubella. RNAcentral describes it as "long non-coding RNA (CRUB_LNC001848)". Lineage: Eukaryota; Viridiplantae; Streptophyta; Magnoliopsida; Brassicales; Brassicaceae. The record is from RNAcentral.